RNAcentral lists this ribosomal RNA (301 nucleotides) under uncultured bacterium. RNAcentral describes it as "partial 16S ribosomal RNA". It matches the Rfam family "Bacterial small subunit ribosomal RNA", at positions 509 to 807 of the family's 1533-position model. The record is from RNAcentral.
CAGUAGCCGCGGUAACACGGAGGGAGCUAGCGUUGUUCGGAAUUACUGGGCGUAAAGCGCGCGUAGGCGGUUACUCAAGUCAGAGGUGAAAGCCCGGGGCUCAACCCCGGAACUGCCUUUGAAACUAGGUGACUAGAAUCUUGGAGAGGUCAGUGGAAUUCCGAGUGUAGAGGUGAAAUUCGUAGAUAUUUGGAAGAACACCAGUGGCGAAGGCGACUGACUGGACAAGUAUUGACGCUGAGGUGCGAAAGCGUGGGGAGCAAACAGGAUUAGAGACCCCUGUAGUCCCUGUCUCUUAUAC